This 2893-nucleotide long non-coding RNA is filed under the name Podarcis lilfordi (Lilford's wall lizard). The record is from RNAcentral. Lineage: Eukaryota; Metazoa; Chordata; Lepidosauria; Squamata; Lacertidae.
CGCAUAAUUUUAAUUGCCAUUCUUCCUUAGUCGGCAAUAAGUUACUUUUCCAGUAUCUCGCAAUCAGGAUCCUGGCUGCCGCUGUAGCGUAGAGAAAAACCUGACCUUUUGGGAUGUGUGCUGUAAAGAUACCUAAUAAAAAUAAUUCUGGUUUGUUUUUUUAAGAAUGUGUGUUUCAUCAUUAUGGCGAUCACACAGGGUCCCCGGACGUUUGACGGUCUAUAGAUCCCUGUGCCACCACUGUGAUCGCUUCUCCGCUGCCACCAACCCGUUUCUCUCGGGUACACACUGAGUCCAGACAGUUGUUAACAUUAAAAACAAAUAAUCAAGUUUAUUUUAUAAGCAUUAACAAGUUGAUGGUUUCAGAUAAUUUUUCUUGUCAGUUUUUUAAUCUUAGUUUCUUUACCGGCCUAUACCUUUCUAAUACCUUCUAACUGAUUAUCCCAACUGUUUAACUGACUCCUCUUAACAGAUUCUCUCACUCUCUCAAAUCAAACUAGCCCAACCCCCACAGACUUAUCCUCCCUCUCCCUUCUCUAAUUCCAGACCGACUUCUUAACAACUCUAACUCUAACUCCUCCCAUUGGGUUCCUAUUGGUUAAUCAUUUUACACUUAGUUAACCCUUUCCUUAUGACCCAGUAUGAUGUCACACACCUAGGAGGGCAAAUGCCACAAUCAUUUUUUUCAGCUCUUCAUAUAUCAUGUCCCAAAGUAAUUUAAUGGCUUCUCAUUUGAUCCUGGAAUACCCCUAUUUUCCCUGCCAGCACUGCCACUAAGCUUGGGAAAGAGGAUGAGCCGAUGCUUGUCCACAGCAGCAGCAAUGGACCAUCCCUUUGCCUCUCCAGUGGUCAUCACUGCCAGUCUCCUCCCUUGGGCAGCUCAAAGUGGCUGCUGGAGAGUGGGUGAGCAGGAGGAGAGGCUGCCAUCACUGAGAUCCAGCCUUGCAUAAUGCGCCGGCUCUAAGCAAAUCAGUCUCUUAAGCUUAAGCCAAGAAAGAGUAUUCUCUAUAAGAUUGAAUAUCAAUAUACGUAGCAAGACUUUGAUAUUAGACCACUGAAGAAGCCCGGAAAACUAUAUUGGGAAUGUGCUACCUGCAAGCCCCAGUUAGAGAGCCCCAUUGGGGGCAAACAGCGGCCUCUUGAUUACUUGGACUGCCAGGGCGAAACAGGUGCAAAACGUCGGCACCCUGUCUCUAUCUACAACUCUACUAGCAUCUCUCGGUAUCGUGAAUAUCACCGAACUUACCUUUUGUUGGUAUCUUCAUGAACUUAUCUAAAAGACUGAGUUAAGCAUUUGAAAAAUCUAUUGAAACCAGACAUUAUAAGUUCAUUUUAGGCUGGGUAGUUCGCAAGUCUUUGUGGCUUUGUUUAGUGUUUUGUAUUUUUCUCAGAAGGUUGAUAAAAUAUGUAUAAUUAUUGUUCUGUGUAUAUUAAUCGCCAGUGUGUUGCAUGAGUCGCACUACUGGCUCUGAGGUGCAGGCAGAGGGCAUGGCCCCCCUGGGCGGGAAGAAAAGGGGAGCGAAGCACAAGGAGUCUUGAUUAAUUAUUUUUAAAUAAAAAAAUGCUUUGCACAGCCACAUCCAAUCUUGCCCGUUUCUAAAAUUUCUUUACUGGUGUGUGUUUUUGUAAAUCUGCCAAAGAAUAAAAUCAAAUGGGAUGAAGGGGUUUUCUCAAGACAGUGGAAGGUGUGUGUGCUGUGUCUUGUUGGUGUGGUGGUGGCAGCCCUUGCUCUCCUGCGGAGGGGGAGGCCAAAAAUGGGGGGUUGAGGAGGGUCAGUUGUGGGGAGUGAGAAAUGUCCCUAUUUUCAGCUAAGGUAUGUUGGGGGGUAUGCAUUAGGUCCCUUAGGUAUCUUUUUGACUGUGGGCCCUGCUAAACCAAAGCACACUCUACCAAACAAUGCUCCACUUUCCCCAUGAUCCAGUGGCCGAGGUGUGCAUGCAACGUGCCUGAUGUGCACAUGAUCCUUUGCAGAAGCUUCCUCUUUCAUUUCAGUGGGUUGUAGCCAAAUAAUUUCUACUCAGGGGAGACCCACUCAAAUCAAGGGACCUAACAUUUCCAUUGAUCUCCCUGGGUUUGCUCUAGCACCGGAUGCAACCCAAUGCCUGGAUCUACUUUGCUUGCAGAAAAGUCCAGGUUCAACCCCCUGCAUCUUCAGGUAUGGCUAGGAGGAAGAACACAUCCUGAAGCUGAGACUCCAAUACUUUGGCCACCUCAUGAGAAGAGAAGACUCCCUGGAAACAACCCUGAUGUUGGGAACAAGGAGAAGGGGACGACAGAGGACGAGAUGGUUGGACAGUGUUCUCGAAGCUACCGGCAUGAGUUUGACCAAACUGCGGGAGGCAGUGGAAGACAGGAGUGCCUGGCGUGCUCUGGUCCAUGGGGUCACGAAGAGUCGGACACGACUAAACAACAAAAGGAGAGAAUUCUAUCUGAAACCCUGGAAAGCUGAGCUAAGCAGACCUGUGGUCUGACUUUGUAUGUUUCUGAGGUAAGGGAGUUUAGGGGCCAAGCUUCUGGACAUAACUCAAUUCAUGAUAGAGGCAAGUCCUAGAAGUUGAUAGCUGCUGGAUCAUUUGCUAAGCAAAGCCUCUUUCCUAGAAGUCUGUGCCUUUUGGUUCAUUUCACACAGGCAAUAAUUAAUCUUGUAGCAAGCACAAACUGGAAUAGGUCACCCCGACACUGGCACUCAGUUCUGCCAAGGAAUAAGCCUUCAGGGUGGGUGAAGUGUGUUCUUCAUUUGUUGCUGUGGUUUUUUUGUUUUCAUGGUAAUGACUAAAUAUGUAGCAGUUUUACUGUAAUUGUUUUUUGUUUUUAUCUUCUACAUAGCUUUGUGAUUUUAAUGAAAAGUGUCACUAAAAUCAUUCUGAAUAAAUAAAUGAAAGGGUGUACAGGG